Molecule: long non-coding RNA, 336 nt
Organism: Telopea speciosissima
Lineage: Eukaryota; Viridiplantae; Streptophyta; Magnoliopsida; Proteales; Proteaceae
Exons: 2
Source: RefSeq, a predicted model, not a curated record
GCAGAAAUGGAUAUCUUCAUUUGUGGACAAUGUCCUCCCUCCAACUAGGGCAAUAAUGUCUGCCAUAUACGACGAGAAGAAGGAUGGAGAUGGAUUCCUCUAUGUUACCUACAGCGGGAAGAAUACAUUUGGGCACUAGAUACAACUAUAGAUCGAGCGAGGCUGAUGGGGUCUCCUUUUACUUUCAUCAUUAGCUUAUCAUCCUUUCUUGCUUUUGUAUUAAUAAUUUCAUUUCAAUUCCCAAAAUAUAAAGACCUCUCCACUGAUAAGAUGUACAGUCAUAUUAUGUAUAUAGCUUCUAGAGAAGUUGGCAAACAUUAGAAACUGGUUUAUGCU